UUAAUGGGAAUGAUGAAGAAGAU
Molecule: non-coding RNA, 23 nt
Filed under: Cricetulus griseus (Chinese hamster)
Lineage: Eukaryota; Metazoa; Chordata; Mammalia; Rodentia; Cricetidae
Source: RNAcentral